GGAAUUCGAGCCGGUAACAAAAUUCUCGAGGUAUUUUUCACGAGGUGGUCAUCAUUAAUUUAAAAGCCGCGGCCAUUUUUGUCGCGGUGGGUGGACGAUCACGAAUAAAUUUCUCUGAAUGAAAAAGUUAACGUGUGCACCGUUGUUCCACACUUUCUACGUGGCCACGGUAUGUAACACGCGUCCAUGCCGAACUUGGUCCUUGGUUACUUAUUGUCUCGUUACGUUCGCCAUGCGUGGAGCUCGUCCUCAAGACGAGUAAAGGUGGUCGCUGACACUGGAAGGUCGUUUCCCACUUUACAUUGACACACUCAUCGGCUCUGCGGUUUUACGAGGAUACGUGUUGCUUUUGCAUAUUGCUUUCGCGUAGGAUAAACGUGAGAUAUCACUUUGCUUCCUACAACCAAGCGCUGUGAUGACAAUGAUGAUUCAAACUGCUCGAUGUGAUUACAUCACACUGUAUAAUUUACAAUGACUAUUAUUGUACAGUGUGUCUAAACAGAUUUUAUAAAUGAGCAAUAAUAAUUUCAACGAAAAAGUGGAUUAGACGAUUUGUGCGGAAAAUAAAAUGUCUAAGA
Molecule: long non-coding RNA, 578 nt
Organism: Apis florea (little honeybee)
Lineage: Eukaryota; Metazoa; Arthropoda; Insecta; Hymenoptera; Apidae
Source: RefSeq, a predicted model, not a curated record